AUGAUGCACGCCGCCUGAGGUGACCAUCGGCGCGAGCCGCUGGUUGAAACGGGAAUCCGGUGACGCCUGUCCAUUUCGCGUAUCCAUGCGCAUGGACGGCCAUUCCGGAGCUGCCCCCGCAACGGUAGGCGAGCAACGAUCCGCGGAUGCCACUGGGCGCGAGCCCGGGAAGGCGCGGAUCGAUGGAGGUGACGAACCUUCGCUCGCAAGCCCGGAGACCGGCCACGGGUAUCCCCGGACA
Molecule: non-coding RNA, 241 nt
Filed under: Rhodanobacter spathiphylli
Lineage: Bacteria; Pseudomonadati; Pseudomonadota; Gammaproteobacteria; Lysobacterales; Rhodanobacteraceae
Source: RNAcentral